This 492-nucleotide ribosomal RNA is filed under the name uncultured bacterium. RNAcentral's name for it is "partial 16S ribosomal RNA". It matches the Rfam family "Bacterial small subunit ribosomal RNA", at positions 29 to 507 of the family's 1533-position model. The record is from RNAcentral.
AGUGAACGCUGGCGGUAGGCCUAACACAUGCAAGUCGAACGGCAGCACAGUAAGAGCUUGCUCUUACGGGUGGCGAGUGGCGGACGGGUGAGGAAUACAUCGGAAUCUACUUUUUCGUGGGGGAUAACGUAGGGAAACUUACGCUAAUACCGCAUAUGACCUACGGGUGAAAGCAGGGGAUCUUCGGACCUUGCGCGAUUGAAUGAGCCGAUGUCGGAUUAGCUAGUUGGCGGGGUAAAGGCCCACCAAGGCGACGAUCCGUAGCUGGUCUGAGAGGAUGAUCGGCCACACUGGAACUGAGACACGGUCCAGACUCCUACGGGAGGCAGCAGUGGGGAAUAUUGGACAAUGGGCGCAAGCCUGACCCAGCCAUACCGCGUGGGUGAAGAAGGCCUUCGGGUUGUAAAGCCCUUUUGUUGGGAAAGAAAAGCAGCAGGUUAAUACCCCGCUGUUCUGACGGUACCCAAAGAAUAAGCACCGGCUAACUUCGUG